Molecule: ribosomal RNA, 434 nt
Filed under: uncultured bacterium
Lineage: Bacteria
Description: partial 16S ribosomal RNA
Rfam family: Bacterial small subunit ribosomal RNA
Source: RNAcentral
AGCGAACGCUGGCGGCAGGCCUAACACAUGCAAGUCGAACGAACCUUUCGGGGUUAGUGGCGGACGGGUGAGUAACACGUGGGAACGUGCCUUUAGGUUCGGAAUAACUCAGGGAAACUUGUGCUAAUACCGAAUGUGCCCUUCGGGGGAAAGAUUUAUCGCCUUUAGAGCGGCCCGCGUCUGAUUAGCUAGUUGGUUGAGGUAAUGGCUCACCAAGGCGACGAUCAGUAGCUGGUCUGAGAGGAUGAUCAGCCACAUUGGGACUGAGACACGGCCCAAACUCCUACGGGAGGCAGCAGUGGGGAAUCUUGCGCAAUGGGCGAAAGCCUGACGCAGCCAUGCCGCGUGAAUGAUGAAGGUCUUAGGAUUGUAAAAUUAUUUCACCGGGGACGAUAAUGACGGUACCCGGAGAAGAAGACCCGGCUAACUUCGUG